RNAcentral lists this long non-coding RNA (19643 nucleotides) under Octopus vulgaris (common octopus). The record is from RNAcentral. Lineage: Eukaryota; Metazoa; Mollusca; Cephalopoda; Octopoda; Octopodidae.
UUUCAACAAAUUGAAUUUUAAGCGCAAUUUUCAGAGUUGCUAAUUUUACGCCACAAGUUGUUCAUCAUACAGGCUUAUAGCACUAAUGCCGAGUGUGUGUUUUCAUUAAUGAAGGCUCAACAGACAAAAGACCGAAAUAAACAGGAUGUGACUACAAUGGAAGCUAUACAACAAUGUAAGUGGAACCUAGAUUGUCAUUGCAAAGAAUUUUAUUAUCAAGUACUGCAAAACGGAGACCUGUCAAGAAAAGUAUUUCAUAAGUGAAAUGUGAUUAAAGGUAAGUUAUUUAAAUUUUAAAAUUGUAUCAAUUUAUUUCAUUUCAACGUAUUUUCCUGAGACCAAUCAUUUAAUGUUAAUCUCAGCAUGUUUUAGGUAUGUGUAUGCACGAAUUUAAUAGUUAUUUGAUUUUGAAUAUAAAAAUGUCCUAUAUUUGUGUUUACCAAUUCUGGUAGUCCUACGAGGAGGAGAUAAUUGAUAAUGAAAGAGCUGAGUGAAAAGCAUUAUUUCCGACGAUAUAUUCACCUGAUAAUACACGAUAUUGAUUGUAGAAUUGAGUUUCUUAAAUCGGUAGAAUUAAUUUAUAAUUCAAUAAUGUUCAGUGAUUAGCCGAGGCAUUAUAUCAAUUGAGUGGCAUGAAGAUGGAAAUGUUAUAACAAAAGAAAUUUACCGAGCCUUUAUUCGAAAUUUCACGAAAAUCAAGGUAUCUCCCAGUUCUAUUUAUCGCUGUUUAUUAUAAAUUUUGAACUAUAUCCCCUUUUAUUGGCAGCCAUUUUAUAUACUUAAAGCAAAAUAAUGCCAUGUAGUGUUUCUUUAUAUUUUAUCUUGCCCCCUUGGAUAUCUUUAUUUGAUUUUGUUUUGAGUUUUUACAAAUAUUUUAUUCAAUGUACGUACUAGAUUGUAUCUCUUGUUGUUUAAGGCCUAGGUCAUCUGUGAUAGCUCAGAUCUAUGAUCAAAAGCGUUUCAGCCGAGACUGUCUUUACUUUUGUAUGUAAGGGAUUAAAUUACUUAGUGCAAACGUCUCCGUCGUUUCUUCAGAACGAUAAGGCAUGGUUUCAGGAUGAUUUGUCUGAUGUUUCCAGUCUAGUUCUUAAUUAUCUACUGUUGUUUUUUAAAAAUCCAAGUCAACCUUGAUGGUGCAGUUCUAUGGUCAGAGACAUUCCACUUAUAACCAUCUCACCUUUAUUUUUGUUGGGAGCCUAAGACUAUAUUAUCCAAUGUUCCAUAAUUAAGGCUACAGCGUGAUAUGAGGAUGCUAUUUAAGGUUGGUCGAGCGGCCACAGUAGAUUUCUCGUUGAUUUGUAAAAUUGUCUUGGUGGUGUUGUAUUAUGGGAAGUAACAUACGGAUUCUUGGAUGAUGCCACUUGAAUUUAGUAAAAGAUUUUCAAAUUUUAAAAAAGUUUUGUUCGUUGAUAAGGCGGUGAAUUGGCUGGAUCGUUAGGGUAUCGGAUAGAACGUCAUGUGAUAUUGCUUUUGCUCUCUCUGAUCUAAGUUCAAAUUUCACCGAGAUCAACUUGGACUUUCGUCCCUUCGAGAUCGUUAAAUAAUCUACCAAGCAAGAAUUUUUUGCUGAUGUUGUUUGAAGGAAUUUUAGAGAUGGUAGUUUUAAUACUUUGUGUUUUAAUUAGUCACUUUUUCUUAGAGGUAAGAAUUCUAAAUUCGCUGGGCGACGUAUACGUAUUCACAACAGUUUUGUAAAUAAAGCACAUCAUUUUUGUACUGCAUAAACUUAUCUAACUUUAGGGGUUAUAGGAUUAUAGGUACCUGAUGGACAUGGGACUGCCAUUUUUGGAGGAACAACGUCUUUCCCAAAGAGGAAAUUUCUGCUUCAUUUAACACCACGACAGAAGAGCUAGUCCCUUGGUCAUUGUAUUCUCCUCGGAUUUGAGGACAUUUCGAUUAUUUUGGUUUUACCCGAGUUGAUGGAAUCGUGAAAGAAAGUUUCUGUUAGCUAAGCGUAUCCUAUACACAUAGUAUGAAGACGAAACAAAUACUGCUGAACUACCUGGCAAAAUAAAUAGAUAAAUUAAUAAAUGCUGGAGACAUAUUCGUGACCAACUAAAAGAAAUAACUGAGUAUUGACUAGGAAGGAAAAUAUUUAGACCGAAUUCCGUGACUUAAUAUAACUCGUGUUGCUGUAGGGAAGAACAGGAAUCUGAAGUUUGGUGUGGUCCUAGAGAAUAAAUCAUGUUCGUUAGACGAAGAGACAAUUAGGAAUAACAGAAUCCUCUUCUUGUCACUGUUUACGAAUUUCUCAAACUUAUGAAAUACACCGUAUUACUAUAGCCAACGCUGACGCUCACCUGUUCUACGCAGUGUGAUUAGUUUUUAUCAGGGAUUUAGGGAUUAAAUAACAAAGAUUUCGGAUUUUGUCGGUUUGAACGGCAGUUUUUAACAUAAUUUCUAAGUAACUAAAAUAUUUUAAACUUCGUAUACUAGUAGAAUGUGUUUAUAAAACAUCUUUUUCUCUUUGUCUUUAUUGAGAAAAUUCUAUAGUUUGUAAGAUAUUUGUUGUUUUUUUUCUUCAAUUUCAAUUUCUGCAAUUUCAACCAAUCAGUGACGUCUAUUGAGUUAAAAAGCAUUCUGUGCCGUAUGAAUAUGUCCCUCGUUUAAGAAACAGAAUGUGUUUAUUUACAUUUGUGAAGAAAAAAAGAUAUCCUUCCACCACCCUAACCUUAACCCUGACCCUAACCCUAACCCUAACUAACCCUAACCCUAAAAGAGAUUGAAAUGCAAUAGAUCGAUUCUAGGGUCAUAAUUAUGGGUGAUAAUUUCAUAUGAUCCCGCUAGAAAAAACUGCCGUUCAAACCGAAAAAACCCAAAUUUCUCUUUGGGUAUGUGGGUGUUAUUAUUGAAUCGAAACUGCUGUUAUAUUGGUAUUCGAUUUCUCAGUUCCCAGAGGGAUAGAAAGCAUACUGAAUGUAGUAUGAUUUGAACUCUGGUAGACAGUAUCGGAUAUGUAUGUAACUAAUUACUACUUUUUGUUUGUCGCUUCUACUGUUUUAGCCGCUUUAUAACCUUUAAAAAUGUUCGCAGCAACUAAAGUAAUAAAAAACAUUUAUAGCCAUUCCAGUAGCAUUAGUCUAGUAAUUUUCCAGCAUCUACACGUCAGCAGGUGGAAUGUGGAAACUUUUACACAAGGAAUAUGAUUAAAUAGAUGGUUGGCAUCUGUAAGAAAAUUAGAAUGACUUACGGCUUUCAAACAUGAAAUAACAGCAUAACUGAAGCAGGGAAAAUCGGCAGUAGGGCUGAAGAAAAGUUCUACAGAGGAGCUUCUGCCAAAUGAAUUCACAUACAAUAGAGUCUCUAAACACAAAUAGUAGAAAAAAACAUCUAUUAAUUCAGAUUAUCCAAACAAUAAGUAGAUAAAAUCUCCAUGCAUGGAGCAGAGGUGUUUGAAAUCUAAAAACAAAUCCUAAGGGAGACAAUUUCAAUUAACUGAUAGUUAUGGAAAUAAAGACUGUGUAAAUGAGAGUGACUGAGAAUAUCUUUAAAGCCAGCUCGUAACAACACACACACACACACAUAUAUAUAUAUAUAGUAGCUGUGUGGUAAAAAGCUUGCUUUCCAACCACAUGGUUCUGGGUUCAGUCCCACUGCGUGGAAAUUUGGGCAAGUGUCUUCUACUAUAUAUAUUUCUUUACUACCCACAAGGGGCUAAACACAGAGGGGACAAACAAGGACAGACAAAGGGAUUAAGUCGAUUACAUCGACCCCAGUGCGUAACUGGUACUUAAUUUAUCGACCCCGAAAGGAUGAAAGGCAAAGUCGACCUCGGCGGAAUUUGAACUCGGAACGUAACGACAGACGAAAUACGGCUACGCAGGUCGCCCGGCGUGCUAACGUUUCUGCCAGCUCAAGCCUCAGGGCAACCAAAGCCUUGUAAGUGAAUUUAGCAGACGGAAACUGAAAGAAACCCGUCGUAUAUAUAUAUGAAUAUACCUGUGUGUGUGUCUGUGUUUGUCCCCUACCCCACCGCUUGACAACUAGUGUUGGUGUGCUUAUGUCCCCAUAACUUAGCGGUUCGGGAAAAGAUAUCGAUAGAAUAAGUACCAGGUUUUAAAAAAAAGUACUGAGGUUUAUACAUUCGGCUAAAAAUUCUUCAUUGCGGUGCCAAGCAUGGCCGCAGUCUACUGACAAACAAAAACAGAUAGAAAAGUUUUAUAUAUAUAUAAAUAUAUAUAUAUAAUAAAAAAUAUAAGAGAGUGGUCACUAUGUGGCUCACUCUAGCACUAGUAAAUCCAAAAGGUUUCAACCACAAAAAUACAUGUUUCCCAUGAAAGUCAGUACGAUUGUUAGCUCACACGAACAGGGCAAAAAAAAAUAACAAAAAUACAGAUUAUUUUGGGACAAUUGUUUCGCUAUUAAUGAAUUAAAUGUAAUUUUACUCACAAAAAACUCACUUGUAGCUCCUCAGCCAAAACUAUCUGGAUGAAAUCCACUCAAUCACACGCUAGAUUUUACCAUAACGAUAAAUGCACGUGUGGUUCAAUUGAUUACAUCCGACGUUUAAAUUAGUAUCUAAUUCUCUCACCCUUAUUAAUUAAUUAUAAUUAUGCUACAUUUAUUUCUAAAUGUAGUAUUUGUUUCCGUGAAAGUUUGGCGCGCUGUUGGUAGGGGCAUUUGAAUUAUAACGUCGGAUGUAAUCAAUUGAACCACACGUGUAUUUAUCGUUAUGGUAAAAUCUAGCGUGUGAUUGAGUGGAUUUCAUCCAGAUAGUUUUGGCUGAGGAGCUACAAGUGAGUUUUUUGUGAGUAAAAUUACAUUUAAUUCAUUAAUAGCGAAACAAUUGUCCCAAAAUAAUCUGUAUUUUUGUUAUUUUUUAUUUGCCCUGUUCGUGUGAGCUAACAAUCGUACUGACUUUCAUGGGAAACAUGUAUUUUUGUGGUUGAAACCUUUUGGAUUUACUAGUGCUAGAGUGAGCCACAUAGUGACCACUCUCUUAUAUUUAUUUUUAUAAAAUAUUAUAAUAUGUUAUAAAAUAUUAUAAUAAUCCAGGUUUCUCGGGGCACUGGGCCACUUGGUGUUGAAUAGGUAUACUAUUAAAUUAGUAUCUAAUUCUCUCACCCUUAUUAAUUAAUUAUAUAUAUAUAUAUAUUAAUAUAUAUAUAUAUAUAUAUAUAUAUAUAUAUAUAUAUAUAUAUAUAUAUAUAUAUAUAUAUAUAUAUAUAUAUAUAUAUAUAUAUAUAUAUAUAUAUAUAUAUAUAUAUAUAUAUAUAUAUAUAUAUAUAUAUAUAUAUAUAUAUAUAUUUAUUAUAUAGAAGGAGCUUCUACAGGACUAGAACUGUUUCAUUCAAGAGAAAUCUUCAGGAAGCUUCAGGAGCUUCCUGAAGAUUUCUCUUGAAUGAAACAGUUCUAGUCCUGUAGAAGCUCCUUCUAUAUAAUAAAUUAAUUUUACUCUGCUAUGUAUUGAGUACCUUAUUUACUGUGGUUAACCCCGAAUCAACCCGGGACCUACAUAUAUAUAUAUAUAUAUAUAUAUAUAUAUAUAUAUAUAUAUAUAUAUUCGGUUUAAGUAAUUGAGAUUCAAGUGAAUUCUAAUGAAUUCACAUGAAUAUGGUCCCUAACUAGGAUGCACCGGAAAUCUAUAUGGUGUUAACCAUACGACAAGUGGGGUGAUUACAAAUAGGAAAAAAGCAACAAGAAUGGAUUAAUCCAUUCUUGUUGCUUUUUUCCUAUAUAUAUAUAUAUAUAUAUAUAUAUAUAUAUAUAUAUAUAUAUAUAUAGGGUUAUUCAAAAAGAGUUAACCGAUUUCCUUACGCAACAUUUCAAUAAGGAAAAGCAAUAGAGAACUCCAGCUAAGUCACAAGUAUUUACUCACAAUCAACUUGUAUUUCCUGCAUUACAAGUGUUCAAUGUGGCCACCACCUGCAGCACGCGUAACAUGAAUGCGACCAAAGAAUUUCUUCCAGACGCUUAUCUGCCUGGCCUGCGAGAUCCAAAUACCUCACCUGUGCGAUUUUUCUUGUGGGGAUAUGAUCUUAAACAUCGAAUAACAACAUCGAUCCACGCAGUUCAUCGCGACAUGCUGAUACGCGUCUGGGAGGAAUUCUCUUAUCGCAUUGGUGUUACCCUUGCUGCAGGUGGUGCCCACUUUGAAUAACCCUGUAUGUAUAUGUAUUUAUAUACACGCACUCCUGGGUGUGAGGAUAAAACUGCAUCCCUCUGCCAAGUCAUGCCGAUCUCGUGUGGCAGAGUAAGCUCAUCAAACCAGUAUGAUCUCAAGCUCAAAUUCACGGCCUCCAAUACACUCACACAUGUAUUUAUUAAUGUUUUUUUCUGAAGCGAUUUUACAUUCAAAUAGUGGAUUACAUAUUCUUCAUUACUGUUCUAUAUUUAAGAGAUGAGGAAUUUUGUACAUUAUUUACGUUUGACGGAUAUUUGUUCUCAUCUUGUUUGUGUUAACACAACGUUUCGGCCGCUAUAUCUUCCAGCCUUCAUUAUUUUGGGGAAAUUUCAAACCUGGGUUCUCAUUCCUAAGGUAUUUUCGAUGUUGUCAUCAUUAUUAUUAUCAUUAUUAUUAUUAUUAUUAUUAUUAUUAUCAUUAUCAUUAUUAUCAUUAUUAUUAUCAUUAUUAUUAUUAUCAUUAUUAUCAUUAUUAUUAUUAUUAUUAUUAUCAUUAUUAUCAUUAUUAUUAUCAUUAUUAUUAUUAUUAUUAUUAUUAUUAUUAUUAUUAUUAUUAUUAUUAUUAUUAUUAUUAUCAUUAGUCAAGUCACAUAUGCCCGUGGGCAUAUGGCGUGGUGGUUAAGAGCGUGGGCUACUAAUCCCAAGAUUCCGAGUUCGAUUCUAGGCAGUACCUGAAUAAUAACAAUAUAAAUAAUAAUAAUAGUAAUAAUAAUAAUAAUAGCAUCAAAAUGUUCCUUCGAAAUGAGAAGCCAGGUUAGAAAUUCCCUCAAGACACCUGAUUAAGGCUGGAGGGUAUAUCAACAGAAACUUGUGUUAACAACAAGCAAGAUGAGGACAAAUAUUCGUCAAAUAUAAAUAAUGUAAAAAAAAAUGUAUAUUCCUUAUUAUUUUACAAGAACGGUGUGAAUUGUGUGACAGAUGCUUCGAAGUUUCAGCCUUCUUAACUUACAUAUAUGUAUAGAAGAAAUGUAUUGACACAGAUUAUGAAUAUCCCUAAUAUGGCAGUGGGAUGGAAUACAUCAGAAGACUGUUUUCAUACUAGAAACAUACGGUAGAGACUCAAAUGUAAUACAGUGAGAAGAAAAACUUCAGUUAACUAAGUAAACAGAAAUGUUCAUCAAGGAAGUAUCCAAAAUUUAAGAACAACAAACAAAUGAAAUAACGGUAAUAAUUUCCAUAAGAUACUGGAAUAAAUAUCGUUAUAAUUUUAAAUACAACAGCAUUGCAAUAAAAACAGAAUAAACGUAGAUGUUUAAUUUAACGCUAUACUAUAUUUAUACUUUACGGAGAUGUACUUACAUAGCAAGUGACUUGAUCUGAGAUAGUGUGCUGAAACAAAAUCAAUUGCAACGUGGAAGAUGUUUGCAAGCCAUUUAAGAACACACAAAAACCGUUAGUUUCACUUCAACAUUUAAAUUUAAUUUAUGCCAAAAUAUUUUCGUCGCUUUGAAACCUCGACCGGUUCACUGACAAAACUAACUUCGUGCUGCAUCACGAAGUCUUGUCAGUGAACAGGUCACGGUUUCAAAGUGAUGAAAAUACUUUGGUACAAAAUUAAUUUAAUGUUGAAGUAAAACUAUCAGCUUUUGUGUGUUCUUAAAUGGCUCACAAACACCUUCCACGCUGCAAUUAUAUUUAUACUGUACUAUACGAUAAAACACUCUUCCUGCAUUACACCAAACCUCCCAAGUAUUCUAAGAUACAGGAAUAUCUCUCAGUUACCAUUCAUACCUUAGCCAGUCAUGUUUACAGAAUAAAAGGAUUCUUUGUGUUUCAUAUUUACGAAAAAAAAAUGGCGAUAAAAUGUAGAAUAGUUUAUUACAUCAACCGUAGUACUUGACUGCUACCUUAUUUUAUCGACCAAGCAAAGUUCACUUCUGCAGGAUUUAAACUCAGAACAUAAGAGGACGAAAGAAUGCCGCAAGACUUUACAUCCGAAGCUGUAACGGUUCUGCCAAUCAACCAUAUGUGGAGAGAGAGAGAGAGAGAGAGAGAGAGAGAGAGAGAGAGAUUGAGAGAUGAUAAUGAUCAUAAGUACAACAACAAUAACCUCAACCACAGUAUCAAAACAACGAUAAUAAUAUGAACAACACCAAUACCAUCAGUUACAACAGCAACAACAGCGAUAACACUGCUAGUAACAACAAGAAUAAACUCUGAAUUAUCUUAGUGGGCUAUGAAAGACAAAUUUGAUGACUGAAGCUGAUGACGCGCAUCGAUGGAGAAAUGCAUGCCUCCUAGGGUUCGAUGACGUCAUUCAUAGCUCAGUAAUGUGUUUUCCCGCACAUCAUUAAUAAAGAGAAUUUCUUUCUGGAGAUAAUUUCUACGGCACAAGUCCUUUCACGGACAAGUGUACACGAAUUGUACAUACUUAUAUAUUUCAACGCUGCUUCAUUCGCUUCGUGUUAGAAGAAGUUAAAACAUAUAGGUUAUUACAAAACUGCAGUAUGUUAUCUCAUAUUUAUUCCUUGGCAGAAUCGUUAGAGCAGCGGUAUUUAUUCUGAGUUCAAAUCGCACCGAGGUCAACUUUGCUUUUCAUCCCUUGGGGUCGAUGUAAUCGAUUUUUUCCACUCCUUAAAAUUGCUGACCUUAUGCCAACAUUGGAAGGAAUUUUUAAUCCAAUUUCAUAGCAUGAAAUUGUGAACUAAGUAACACUUAGCCUCUAAAUAAUCAUCCAUAUAAUUCAUUCAAGUCACAGUGUAAAGAAGCAAAGUAUUAGUUAAACAAGACUGUUAGCUCAUACUUUACUACUCGUUCUUCAUGCAGCAGGCACCCUUAGUAUCUUCCCAUUGUACUCUUCCUCUCUCCCCACUCUCUCUCUCUACAGUCAUGCAUUAUUUACACAAGCUAACGAUGUACUAGAAACAAUAAUUAUGAAGCAGCAAGUAAAUGAAAUAAAUACAAAUCUCUAUAAAUCACCUAAUUUACACAUCACCCGAAAUUAUAGCGAAAGAAUCCGGUAUUGAGAUCAAUAAAAAAAAUAUAAAUCAGUCAACGUAAACAAAAACGUAAACAAAAACACUAAUAACUAUACCGUCAUGUGAGGAGGAAUUAUGGAGAAGAAUAAUAAAAAUAACAUCAAAAGAUAUUUAACACGCAAAGAAAUGAUAAAAGUAUUGAUAGAAUAAAUACCAAUGAGCAGGAAAAAAAAAAGUAUAGUUCUAUAUAAGGUAAAAAUAAAUUUGUAAAAUAAAGGGAAAUAACCUACUUUGUUUAAUCUGCUCCCACUCAAAAAUAAACAAUACAAAAGAGACAAAUAUACAAGUGUUAAUGCAAUAAGUAGGAGCAAAAGCUCAUGAAUGCAGAAUUCGAAAGAAGAAAAAUAGAGAAAGAAUGAAAGAAAGAAAAAAAGAGAGAAAGAAGAAAAAAAGAAAAUUCGUUCAAAGAAAAAACAAGCAAAAAACAAAUAAAAAAACAAAAACUUUGGAUCCGAAAAGAAAAAUUAGAGUCUAUUCUGAAGGUUAAACAAUAAAAUUAUAGAAUCAAGAUUUUUUCAACGAAAGAAAUGCUGGAAUGUAACGAUAAUAAUAAUAAUAAUAAUAAUAAUAAUAAUAAUGAUGACGAUGAUGAUGAUGAUGAUGAUGAUGAUACUAAUAAUAAUAAUGAUAAUGAUGAUGAUGAUGAUGAUGAUGAUAAUAAUAAUGAUAAUAAUAAUAAUAAUAAUAAUAAUAAUAAUAAUAAUAAUAAUGAUAAUGAUAAUAAUGAUGAUGAUAAUAAUAAUAAUAAUAAUAAUAAUAAUAAUAAUAAUAAUAAUAAUAAUAAUAAUAAUGAUAAUGAUGAUGAUAAUAAUAAUAAUAAUGAUAAUGAUAAUGAUGAUGAUGAUGAUGAUGAUAAUAAUAAUGAUAAUGAUAAUGAUAAUGAUGAUGAUGAUGAUAAUAAUAAUAAUGAUAAUGAUAAUGAUGAUGAUGAUGAUAAUAAUAAUAAUAAUAAUAAUAAUAAUAAUAAUAAUAAUAAUAAUGAUCAUGAUGAUGAUGACGAUGAAGAUAAUAAUAAUAAUAAUAAUAAUAAUAAUAAUAAUGAUAAUGAUGAUGAUGAUGAUGACGAUAAUAAUAAUAAUAAUAAUAAUAAUAAUAAUAAUAAUAAUAAUAAUUUGGGAUGGUGUGUAAAAACAAUAAUAAAAGACAUGCAUGAAAGUGAGGAAAUUUUCACGCUAUCGACAACCCACGCAACGAAAUGGUGGAAAUAUUUAAAAUAUUCUGCUAAUUCUAUAUCCGUACAUUAGUGAAUGAUACUGGUACGGAUUUAGGUAUUAUUUGAAAGGAAAAAAAUAUAUAUGAAAGUGUGCUUUAUAUAUUAGAUUAUGAUUAUUAUUUUAAAGGUUAUUAUCUUAAAACAAUAGAAUGUUUUACAGUUUGAGAGAUUCAUUACAAAAAACUGAGCCGAAGUGAGCACAAGAUACAUAUCGACUGAGACUUGACGUUUCGCCUGACGGUUUAUUCAGCCAGACUAUAUCUAAAGAUUGCUAGAUUUUGGCUAUAUUUCGAUAACGUAUUUCUCGAAGACUUCCUUACCCACAAUGCGAGCUGCUAAUAUAAUUGCUGGUAUAUUCGUCGGAGUCGGUGUUAUUUUUGCUUUUGUUGCUGUUUUUGUUACUGUAGUGAUUUUGUUGCUUAUUCCCGCAACAGCCUUGAUUGAGCAGACAUAUUGUCAGUGACAUUCCAGAAUUGGCCAUCCCAUGUUUUAGAUUUUUUGAUACUAUGUAUUUACGAUAACAUUAUCUAAUGUGUCCUCCCCUUUUUAAGAAGGUAAGAUAUAGCAUAAGGUAGAUUUAGUUGCUACUUUUAGUUAAUUGAGCGGCUAUAUAGAGACCAAGACUCAAACCUGAAAUAUGAUUACAAAGCAUGUUGGUAAUAUGAUUGAUUAACCUUGGUCAAUGUUUCAUAUCAAAAGCGUUCGGGCAGGUGACAUCCUGUCAUGGACUUCAUUAUGUACCGCCAUUCUUUUUCAAGAAUUAAAAUAUAAUUCAAAGGAGGUUUGGUGGUUAUUGGUUUCAAAUUUUGGCACAAGGCUAGCAAUUUCCGAGGAGGGAGUAAAUCGACUACAUCGACCCCAGUACGCGACUUGUACUUAUUUUAUCGAACCCGAAAGGAUGAAAAGCAAAGUCGACUUCGACGGAAUUUGAACUCAGAACGUAAAGACAGACGAAAUGCCGCUAAGAAUUUAGCUCGGUGUCCUAACGGUUCUGCCUGCUGCCCGCUUUUGCUAUGCCCAAAACUGAACGUAUAUACAUAUUCAAAAAUUAGUAUCAGACUUUCCUCUGUAGUUUCAGACUUUUUUCUAUGCUUAAUAUUAAUUUCAAAUUUUGGCACAAUGCCAGCAAUUUCUGGUGAGUGGGUAUGUCGAUUACAUCGAUCCCGGUACGCGACUGUUACUUUUUUCAUCGACCCCGAAAGGAUGAAAGGUAAAGUCGACCUUGGAAGAAUUUGAAGUCAGAACGUAAAAACAGACGAACUGUCGCCAAGAAUUUUGCCCGCGGGCUUACGAUUCUGUCAGUACGCCGCCUUGGGUUUGGUUGUUAUUACUAGCAGUUUGAGUAUAGAGGCCAAGAUUAAUAAUGCAAGAAGGAUUAGGUGUCAAUAGUAUUAUUGUUGUUACUUAAUCUUAGGUCAGCUAUGUUUGGCGAGACAUAAUCACGAUUGCUCCAGAAGAGACCAUCACGUGUAUCUGGAGUUUCAUUAUCACCCCUCUUCUAAACAAAUAAUCAAGGACAACAGUAUGUAAUAUAUUCUUCCUUUUUGAGGGACAGUAUAUAAAUUAAUGGAAAUCUGGCUGUCAUUUUUAGCAGGCUGAGAGACAUGAGUCACCCAAAAUUAAUGUUAAAAGAAUUAACACAAAAGUGUCAGAAUAAUAUAUUUGCUGUUGUUGUUUUUUUGUUGUUGUCUAACUCUAGAUCAACCCUAGUUGGCUAGAAAAUAUGGAGGGACCAUUGUCUAUCUAGGAAUACAUUAUAUAAUGUGUUAUUCUUUUGUAAAAAAAGGUAAUCAAGAACAUAUUGUUAUGCAAUAUGUCAAUGGUUUUCAAGAAAUACAUUAUAAUUGAAGGCGAAUUUGGCUGUAACUUCUAGCCAACCAAGAAUAAUGCCAGAAGGAUUAACAGAAAAUCUGUCUGUCAGGAUAAAAUUGGUUUCAAAUUUUGAUACAAGACCAGCAUCUUAUGAGGAGGGGUAAGUCAAUUACAUCACCCUCAGAGCUCAACUGGUACUUAUUUUACCGACCUCGAAAGGAUGAAAGGCAAAGUCGACCUCGGCAGAAUUUGAACUCAGAACGUAGAAACAGACGCAAUGUCGCAAAGUAUUUUGCCCGACGUGCUAACAAUUCUGCCAGCUCGCCGUCUUGUCUGUCAGGAUAAUAUUGCUGCAAUUGUUGUGUAAUUCCAGAUUAAUGCUGGUUGAGCUGAAAAUAUUAUCAAAGUUAUUUCAUGAGAGACUGUCAAGUGUUUCUGGAAUUAUAUUAUCUAAUCUGUCUUUUCUUUUUAAAAAGGCAUGGUGUAACAUAAAGGAAAUUUGGCUGCUAUUUUUAUCAGGCUUAGACAUCAUUCAGAGUCUCCAUUGUGAUAUCGGGCCGGUAAUAUAAUCUUAUAAUGCAAACAGAAGUACAUUACUACCUACAGUAGACAGACAUGAUUGAAAAACAUCAAAGUGUGAAUAACAUUUAGUUCAGGGGAAUAUCAUUAUAAUAGGAGAGUGUAAAGACCAGCUCUCAGUAUAUAUAAAUAGAAUUAUAUUUGUAGAUUUAGUUUUGAUCUUAAUCACCAAUCUCCUCCGACUACAUGAACCAUAUAAAUGGUAUGAAACAAUAUUUAAAUGAAAAUCUAAAGAGCAGAUUCCAAGCACAGAACCCAAAAUUAGAUACGCACACAAAUACAUACGCAAACACAUUCUCAGACAUUGACACACAUAUACACACAAAUUAAUAUAAGUCUACAUACAUACAUACACUUAGACACAAAUAUACAGGAUAGGCCCAAAAAUCACGCACCAAUACAUGAUUACUAUUCGGCAUUUAGUCUGUCUGCGCGUUCUGACUUCAAAUUCCGCCGAAGUCAACUUUACCUGUCAUCUUUUCAGGGUCGAUAAAAUAAGUACCAGUUGAUUUAAUAGAAUCACCCACUUCCCCCAACUCGCUGGCCUUGUGCCAAAAUUUGAAAUCAUUAUCAUCAUUACUAUUUUCUCUUUAUCACGGGUUUUGUUGGAGCUCCUGGAGUCUUGUAUGCGUAGCUGGCUUACUACCUGCAAGCUACGGUACCAUGCUAUUCAUUCUUUUCAGCUAUCUAAUACUGUCUUGAUUAUUCUGGCUGUGGCAAGGAGACACACCUUUUGUAACAGUUCUUCUGGGCACUCUAUUCCAGUUACCUUUAUAUCCCUCUUGAUGCCUUCUGAUACUGUUCCCAGGGACCCAACAAUAAUUGGCACUAUUUUCACCUUUAUUUUUCAUAGCUGGGCUAUUUCGUACUCAAUUUUUUUUUCGUUUUCCUUCUUGACUAUUUGUGGGUCGAAGGGGCAUGCAACAUCAACUAUAUAGCAUAUGUGGUGCACCAUGUCCACCACCACUACGUCCGGUCUAUUAUGCUCUAGUACCUGAUCUGUUUGAAUUUGGAAAACCCAGAGGAUUUUGCUAGUCUCCGUCUUGCCUAUCUCUAACUCCCACUUUCCGCAAGUUUCCAGUGGAGCACUUUCGCUAUCUCGUCGUGUCGCCAAAACUUGUAAUGGUUUUGGGCAAGUCUAACGCAUUCGUUCGUGAUACGGGCAAUGGUUUCAUCCACUCUAUUGCAGAUGCGACACUGCGGAGACACUUGCUCAUUCCUUAGGUUGACCCUCCGGUUCGUGGCCAGAGCUUGGUCCUGCGUUCCCAGUAUAGGGCUAUUAUUAUUAUUACAAGCUGGACCCAUGAAAAAUUCACCGAAUAUAUUAAAAAUGUAAGUAUCUGUAAAUUGUGUGCUGAUGUCAUGAGAAAUGUAGAUUUUUCGGAACAAAUCGCCCAUGUACAAUCGCCUAAGAAAGCCUUCAUGGAUGACGUGACACUUCUAGCUACAGAUAAACAAAUCAUGCAGAAUGCCUUUUGAGAUUAGACGAACGUGUAAGGUGGUCAAGGAUGCGAUUUAGAGCAAAAAAGUCGCGUAGUCUGACAUUUGUUAAGGGAGUGCAGAAAGAAUUUAAAUUUCGAAUAUCGGAAGAAAGCAUUCCAACAGUCAAGGAAGAGCCCGUCAAGAGCUUGGGACGAGUAUACGCUGGAACAUUGUCAGAUAGAAGUCGUGGGAUUGAAAUUAUGAAACAGGCCGAGGCUGGUUAUCAGCGAUUGAUGUUUCGAAGUUACCAGGUAAAUAUAAAAUUUGGUGCUUGCAGUUCGGCCUGUACCCGCGACUUGCGUGGCCACUUUUAAUAUACGAAGUAGCAUUGUCACGAGUUGAAAAGAUCGAACAAAAAUGUAAUGUGUUCAUUAGAAAGUGGCUAGGUCUACCUCGUAUGUUGAACAGCUCAGCUCUUUAUCGUAAAAGAGGUUCGUUGCAGUUACCAAUAGCAUCAAUAGUCGAAAUAUAUAAGUUGGGGAAGAUACGGACGGUCAUGAUGCUGAGAGAAUCGAAGGAUAUGGAAAUCAGGCGUAACCCACCAGAGGUGAAAACAGCCAGGAAGUGGAAAGCAGAAGCAGAAACUGACAACAUCUUGUCUUCUCUUACACACAGAGAUAUGGUGGGAGCAACGCAGAACCAUCGGAAAGGAUUUGGUUUUGGCGCGGAUCAGUUCAGACCGUUUGCAAGCAUGAUGCCGUGUGAACGCAGAUCUGUUGUUAGCAACAGCGUCAAAACAAGAGAAGCAGAGAGAAGAGAGCUUCAUUUGAUCCGAUGUGUUCAUCAAGGUCAGAUGACGAGAUGGGAAGAACAUGUUGUUGAGAGGAAGAUAAGUUGGGAUGAGAUGUGGAAGUGGACAACAUCUCGGCUGAGUUUCCUGAUUCGUUCAUCUUAUGAUGUUUUGCCAUCACCUACGAAUCUAGUAAGAUGGAACGUCUUAGAGAAUGACGUCUGCAAAUGUGGAAAAGUCGGUACACUAAAACAUAUUCUUUCCAACUGUUCGUUAGCAUUGAACAGGUACACAUGGAUGCACAACUUGGUCCUUAAGGUUAUCUUCAAUGCUAUAAAGAAUCAAAUUCAUCUCAACAACACUGAGGAAAAAUCGUUAAAAGUACCAUCAAGAGAGUUCAUUACCUUCGUGCGACCAGGUCAGCAGAUCCGUUUCAAGAAGAAGACCAAGAAACUUCCUGAGAAAAAUGAAAAGUGGAACGACUAUUGGGAGGUAACUGCAGAUUUACCUGGGUGCCAGGUUUUCUUUCCCAUCCCAGUUUCGAAAAAACCAGAUAUUUUGAUGUGGUGUGAAAGAAAGAAAGUUUUAAAUAUAGUCGAGCUAACGGUUCCUCACGAAGAUAAUAUGGACGCCGCUCGAGCUCGAAAAUUAAACCGUUAUGAAAACCUCCUCGAGGAAUAUGAAGACGCAGGCUGGAAAGCGGAACAUUUUCCUAUCGAAGUCGGAUGUAGAGGGUUUGUAGGACACAGCGUGAGACGACUGUUGUUAUCGUUAGGCCUAACUCAUCGUAAAGUCAAUACCACCAUGACUGAUAUCCAAUCUACAGUGGAGAAGGCUAGCCAAUGGAUUUGGUUAAAAAGAGACGAUGAGCGAUGGCUAGAAGUAUAUUGAGUUCAUCAUAACCAGCUGAUCUAGCAAGCGGGGCCUCAUAUCAGUGAGGGGUCCGGUGCGCAUUGAUGCCGUCGAGAGGUAGGCCCCGAAACGGCGCGCAUUCUCUCCUGAUGACCCCAUACACUUGCUAGCUUCCGAUAUUUUAACUGGUAGCUUCCGAGCUUUUAACUGGUAGCACUUGCAUGUGCAAGUUGUUUGCAAGAUAUAUAUUGUGACAACUACAGAAUAUACAAAGAAGUAUAAAACCGAUAACUAUAUAACCCAACCAAGAUAUCUCAGUUACGCAAACGUAAACGGAAUUACUAUUUAGCCUGAAAAUGCAUCGCACAUAUUCAAAGAACGUUCUUGGUUUAGUGGUACGGAACAUUCUUCUGGUAUUCUUCUGGUAUUCACACACACACACACACACACAGUCAUUUGACGGUGGCCAUGCUGGAGCGCCACCCUUUAAUCGAAGAGAUCGACCCCUAGAUUCAUUCUCUGAAUACCUAGAGCUUCUUCUAUCAGUCUCUUCUGCCGAGCAGCUAAGUUACGGGACACAAACACACCAACAUUGGUUGUCAAACAUGGUGGUGGAUGACAAACACAGGCACACAGAAAUAUCACACAUACACACACACACACAUAUAUAUAUAUAUAUGUAUGUAUGUUUGUAUAUAUAUAUAUAUAUAUAUAUAUAUAUAUGUGACGGGCUUCUUUCAGUUUCCGUCUACCAAAUACACUCACGAGGAUUUGGUCGGCCCGAGACUAUAGUAGAAGACACCCUAAAUUAUCGAGUUGAAUUUCGUGUAGCAGCCACCUGUUGGCAACUUUUCUCCCCCAUCCAUUUAGUGGGAGAUAUCCAUUUUCUGGGCUCUUAUCACAGCUAUACACGUUCGAAAUUUGCAUAAGUUUUUGUAUGAAAACAAAAAAAAAAAAAAAAAGGAAAGGAGGUUACAUGCUUGUUUGUAGUUUGUAGAAAAAACUUUAAACGUGCCUGAAAAAAAAAACGUGGUCUUUCCCCACCAACUAAAAGACGAAGAACUAUGAAAGAAAGCGAAUAAAUACCAGGAAUGGGGUAAAGAAGAGAGAACUAGCAGUCGAUCGGUCUUGAACUCCCAGAAUAAAAACAUAAUCACCUGAAAGACUUUCCCUUUAUUCAUUACUGUCUUUCUUUCUUCUUCAUUGUUAAAAGUAAAGAAGCUAGAAAAGAUCGAUCGUAUUUCAGUCUAAUUGUCAUUGUAAAUGACUGAGGCGUUCCUGUCUCUAUCUCUGGUUCAAAUACCACAAAGUCGACUUUGCAUUUGAUCCUUUCAGGUUUGAUAAAAUAAGCACUAUUUGAGCGGUUGAUGUAUUCGACUUACCCAUCACUCCAAAAUUCGCUGAACUUAUGCCAAAAAUUGAAACCGUUAUCAAUUCCAAUAUCACUUAAUAACAGUUUUACGAUUUGAUGCAACUCAUUAAUAGUAGUUUUUGUAAUUGAAAUUAACCCUAAACAACUGAGACACAAUUUUAUUUUGUCGCUCAUUUUCAUAUCUAAUACACUCAUUUAAAUACUUUUUGCUAGCUAUAUCAGUUGAUUGAAAAGGAGAGCCAUUAGUAUUGGACGAAAUACUUAGUGGUAUUUCUACCGGUUUUAUAUUCUGAGUUCAAAUUCCGCAGAGAUAGAUUUUACCUUUCAUCCUGUCAGGUUUGAUAAAAUAAAUACUAGUUCAAUGCUAGGAUCGUUGUUAUCGAUUCACAUCUCCCCUUCAAUUGCCAGCCUUGCGCCAGUAUUUGAAACAAAUGAAUAUAAGUUAACGGGAAAGGCAACGAGCUAGCAGAGUCGUUAGCAUGUUGGACAAAAUACUUGGCAGAACUUACGUUCUGAGUUCAAACUUCGUUCGGGCCGACUUUGUCUUUCACUUUGUCUGGGUCAAUAAAAUAAGUACCAGUUGAGCACUGGGGCCGAUGCAAUCGAUUUACCACCAGCCAUUAAAUUCUGGCCUUGUGCCAAAAUCCUGAAACCAACAAAAUAUUAACUAACGGGAAAGGCCAUGAGCUGUCGGAAUCGUUAGCAUGUCGGACAAAAUCUUUAACGGUAUUUAUUCCGGCUUUAAGUUCUGUGUUGAAAUUUCGCAGAGGUUGACUUUGCCUUAAAUCCUUUUACGGUCAGUAAAAUAAGUACUAGUUGAGAUUUGGGUUCGAUGCAAUCCACUAUAGCUCUUUCUUUCACGAAAAUUUUCCAAGCUUUGUGCCCGUCGUUGAAAGGAAAAAAAAUAUUAGCUCAAAAUCACUGUUGAAUCAAACUAAAAUUGAUUACAUGUCUUCAAUUUGUUCUCUUCGUAACGAUGAAGCAAUAACAUAUUUACUAUGUGGCGUUCAUUUUGUUCUGUACUGUUGAUGAUAUAGAAAUGAAGGAUUUCUCUUCUUAGUAAGUUCUCCUAAAUAACCGACGCUACGAAUACUUACAAGGUAAGUUACAAACACCACUAAUAGCAGAUAAAAAUUGCGUUAUUGAGUUGCUAUAUAACUGUUUUAAGAGUUUCGUGUGAAUUUGAGUACAUUGCAGAAAUAUCUUUUGUGUUUAACAGAAGCUUACAUUGUUAAAUCAUUUUUGUCAGUGCACAUUGACAUAAAUCUCUAUUGCUAUCAUGUCUAAUUUCUCUCAGGCAAGUUGCAAAUUGUUGAAGUGAUGGCUAGGAAUUUUAAACUUUUUCUUGUUUUGAUCUCUAGCUUACCACGUAACUGAGUAACUUGCCUAUAAUUUCUGCAUCGGUUUAUUUUACUUCCGCACCUUAAUGUGGUCUCUAGAAAGUAAAGCCAAAUAUCCUUUAAUUCACACUCUACCGUAUUAAACAACGAGUAGUACAACGAAAAAAAACAAAACAAAAACAGUUCAUCUCGCUUUCUUUAAGAUAGCAUGUAUUACUAGAAUAACUUUGUUAAUAAAAAUGUGUCGCAAAAACACUGUCCAGGUUUAACCCUACAGGAAAUCUCUUACUAGUCGUCUUAUCAAUAGUACCUGUCUAUCAAUGUUGCUGUCAUUGACUUAAUCUUUCCGUAACACGAAUGUCAUUACAAAGUUAUUUAUUUAUAAUUAUUAAAAUACUCUGAGUUUGAAAUUAAUUUUAAGCAGCACUGAAAAUUUAUAUUAGAUUUAUAAAGAAAUCAGUUGAAAAUAUUAGCGCGUAUAUAUAUAUAUAUAUAUACUAUUUGAACAAUUCGUUCAGAUGUAAGACAAAUGGUAGCGCUGUUGAAACUAUUGUGCAUUGGGAUAAAUUAUCAAUAAUGUAAUUAAUUUCAACGAGAAGGAAAAGUUCGUCAAAUUUCCCGUUAGUGGCUCUUCUCAAUUUAUGCAUUUCAUUUAUUAGCUGCGUUGGUAAAUUGCUGCCUCAGGUUAUUUAAUCCAGUAGUAAUUAUGGUGCAUCUGUGAUUUGUUUUGCCAAUAUUGUGUGCAUAUAAUACAAUGCGUGUCAAAGUAAUUAAGAAAAUUGUGCCUAAGCGUAUAACAAAAUUUCUUCCGGUAUUUCGUAUCUAGCAGUAAACAGGCAUCUCGUUUUCAGGUCGCUAGUAAGAUAAUCUAUCUAUCUAUCUAUCUAUCUAUCUAUCUAUCUAUCUAUCUAUCUAUCUAUCUAUCUUUCUUUCUAUUUAUCUAUCUAUCUAUCUAUCUAUCUAUCUAUCUAUCUAUCUAUCUAUCUAUCUAUCUAUCUAUAUCUAUGUAUUAUUAUUAUUAUUAUUAUUAUUAUUAUUAUUAUUAUUAUUAUUAUUAUUUUUGUUGUUGUUGUUUCUGUUGUUGUUCAUAUAUAUAUGUAUAUAUAUUCUUUUAUUCUUUUAUUUCUUUCAGUCAUUUGACUGCGGCCAUGCUGGAACACCA